GGUAGCUUGGCCGAGGGGUCUAAGGCACUGUAUUUGGGCUCCAGUCUCUUCAGGUGUGUGGGUUAGAAUCCUACCGCUGCCA
This 82-nucleotide transfer RNA is filed under the name Danio rerio (zebrafish). It matches the Rfam family "tRNA". Rfam says of the family: Transfer RNA (tRNA) molecules are approximately 80 nucleotides in length. Their secondary structure includes four short double-helical elements and three loops (D, anti-codon, and T loops). The record is from Rfam by way of RNAcentral. Lineage: Eukaryota; Metazoa; Chordata; Actinopteri; Cypriniformes; Danionidae.